Molecule: transfer RNA, 3790 nt
Filed under: Paramuricea clavata
Lineage: Eukaryota; Metazoa; Cnidaria; Anthozoa; Malacalcyonacea; Plexauridae
Rfam family: tRNA (bases 571-643)
Source: RNAcentral
AAAUAAUACCAAAUGUGGUGUCUCUCCAAAACCAGACCAGCUCGGGUACCCUGGCUUCUCUUUCUUGCUUGCGAAAUGUGAAUUUACUUUUUGUGUUAAAUUUCUUGAGGCACUAUUAAAGCUGUGUACAGUGUAAAAUAGCAUAGUAAGUGCACCAGGAGGGAUUGUGCCUUUAACAUAUAUCUCAUUUUUUAUAGGAUUAUGUUCGUCGUAAACUGAAAGAAUCGAAUGCUUAUGAGAGUAAUCUAGCAUACGUUUGAUGAAAGGUAACUUUGUGUACUAACAUUAUAUUUAUGAAACACCACAAUGACCACAUUCAUACAAGUUAACUUGUUGCUUGUGAUGUUACUCUGAGUGUAUAUCCACACCAGGCAAGCUUGAAAAAUAUGCCUGACCACGGUGGGAAUCGAACCUACGACCUUUGGAAUGCUAGCCCAAUGCUCUGCCAACUGAGCUACGCGGUCUGGUCGGUUCGAGUAUGCGAUAUUUCGGAACAGAAUCUAGUUCCUUCGAUAUCAAUGUAAUCUAGUAAUAAUGAUAUUUUCUGUGUUGGUGCAAGCCAACAAGUACAACCGCGUAGCUCAGUUGGCAGAGCAUUGGGCUAGCAUUCCAAAGGUCGUAGGUUCGAUUCCCACUGUGGUCAGGCAUAUUUUUCAAGCUUGCCCGGUGUGGAUAUACACUCAGAGUAACAUCACAAGCAUCUUAUUCACCUGAGUACAUUGCACCAACACAGAAAAUAUCAAGUUAACUUGUAUUUGCAGGCCAGCUAGGCCCGUAGCUAGACUGAUCAUUGGGGGUGUAUAUUCAUAUAUUCGUGUUCUGCCUGAGGGAUUUCUUUUGAAAGUAAUUGUUAACGUUGUUACACUACAUGAACAUGAAUAUAUGAAUAUACACCCCCCCCCACCCCUAGCUACGCCGCUGUUGCAGGCAUACACUUAUGAAACAUUAGUCAUCUUAUACAGCUGUACUAAAUAUUCUGUUUUAAUUUUAGUGUUGACUCUCAACACAACAUCAUGCUGUGUUCCAAGGUUCCCAAGGAACUGGCUCAUGAGUAUGGAGGGCCACAACUGUUUUAAUAAAAGGUAUGGUGUACACAGUAUUUAUGGUAUUUGUAAUUGUCUUGCCCAAGGCCAAAAAAAAUAUGUGGGUUUCCGGUUUCUUCUUAUAAAAACUUAGGUAGGGUAGGUCGGUUUUAAUUUUUUUUAAACUUUUUUUUAAAUUUUCCAAACAAAUGAACGCCAUUUUGUUUAGUCAGUGCUUUCACAUCCAAAUUAGAUAAAUUUCCCUAAUAUUGCCUCAAAUUUCAAUUUUCCACGAACUUUUUCCUCUAAGUGGAAACACUUACAAGCAUGAUCCAAUAAAAAAGUUUAGGGUCGGGAUUUCGACGUCCAAAAGGUAGGUAGGGUCGGGAAACCGGAAACCCACAUAUAUUUUUUUUGGCCCAAUAGAUAUAUUUUAAAACCUUAUACCGGUAACUCCUGUGGUAUCUGGAUUCUGGUAAUCACUUUACCAUACUUUACUCUGUCAAUUUUUCAAUAUUAAUUACCAGGCGAUAUAUGUUGGGUCACAAAACUCCCAACACGGCAACGUCUAUAGAGUGGUAUCACUUUAGUUUUGCUCACACCAGAGAAUCGUCCUAUAUAUGACUAAAGCUAGACAAUUGUACUGUACUUGUACAUAGCACAUGUCUCAAAAUUUGAUUUAAUUAAAGACUUUUGAGCAUAGUAUAGAAAGAGUAUAAUAUGCAGCUAAUUCUUAUGAUGUUGUCACAAGCAAUGCUGUAUUGCAGUAGUCAAAUGUCACAUGCCAGCAAUAUUAUCUGCAUUUGCUUGCAUUUUGUCAAAAAUAUUUGCGUUUUGGAUUGUAGAAUUGACUAUUCCAUGUGACAACCUUUGCAUGUGCACUGUAUUUAAAGAAUGGUCCUUAAAAUGAUUUUUUCUGUGUUGGUGUUAUGUACUCAGGUGAAUAUGAUGUUUGUGCAAUGAUACUCUGAGUGUAUAACCACACCGGGGAAGUUUGAAAAAUAGACCUGGCCAGGGUGGGAAUCAAAGCUACGACCUUGGAAUGCCCAAUGCUUUGCCAACUGAGCUAUCAUGAUUACUAGAUUGCAUUGAUAUCAAAAGAACUAGACUCAGUUCUGAAAUAUCACAUACUCGAACCAACUUGACUGCGUAGCUCAGUUGGCAGAGCAUUGGGCUAGUAUUCCAAGGGUCAUCUAGCUUCGAUUCCAACCGAGGCCGGGCAUAUUUUUCAAGCUUACCCGGUGUGGAUAUACACUCAGAGUGACAUCACAAGCAUCAUAUUCACCUGAAUACAUUACACCAACACAGAAAAAAUCAUGAUUAUUAGAUUGCAUUGUUAUCGAAGUAACUAGGCUCAUUUCCGAAAAUCACAUAGUAUUACUCAAACCGACCUGACUGCGUAGCUCAGUUGGCAGAGCAUUGGGCUAGUAUUCCAAGGGUCAUAGGUUCGAUUCCCACCGUGGCCAGGCAUAUUUUUUUCAAGCUUGCUUGGUGUGGAUAUACACUCAGAGUAACAUCACAAACAUCAUGGUCUUUAAAAUGUUUAUGCGGUUUUUACAUAUGAUUUCGUACAAGUUCUCGUGAACAUCCAGAACAAAUUAUUUUGCGCGUUUAAUUUAAAUUUUCCACCAACAUUAACACACAGCAAGGGAUUAAAGACUUUGAAGAUCUGUUAACAGCUUUAGCAUUAAUUUACACAGUAUAACCAAUUUUUUAAGAUUGAAUUUUUAUUAUUUUAUAAAGGACGAGGUUUGAACUUAUAACACUGCAUUUAAUUUUGAUAGGCAUUAAUUUAGCUUUGUAUUUCAACGGGGUUGCUCAAUCUAAAACAUCCGUCUUUGGGUGUUUGUGACAUUUGUGACACUCUAUUUGAAAGUUACCUUUUGCUUUGUCUCCCCAUUUUUAUGCUCAUUGCUUGUAAUGCCUCGAUAACCUCGUGGAUGAAUCUGUAAGGCUUCCAAAGUCGGAUUUCUUGCUGAGCAAAGUUGUGGCAUGCAUAAGCAGUCUACCUAACACCCCCCCCCCCAAAUUACUUACUGUAUGUCGCCUGCGACGAAAAGUAUGUAAAAUGAUUAUGAAGAAGAAUUUAAAGAACUUUCAGAGUCUGAACAACGCGCAUACGGUGGAAGGAAAAGUCAUCCAGGCAAUGUCAUCCAAUCAUCAAAUCAACAUUUGAUACAAAAUUGUACUGUGUGAACUCAAUAGUCAACAUUUGUACUAUAAGUUUUCCAAGAACUUGUAGUAGUGUCAAGCUUAUUUGUUAUUAUUUUGUAUCUUUCUUUAGAGACUUGCACGCAGGCUGAAGCACGUGGGAAAGGCAAAUUGGGGUGCCCAGAAAACUGCAAGAGUGUUCGAUGUUAUGAGGGCAGGCUACUGUACAUGUCAUCAGAAGAAAGCGAGGUCGACGAAACAACAAAAAGGAUCAUGCGUUACAACGUUCGUAGGCUACCCUGGGAGAGUCCAUCUCUAUACGAAGGGAAAAGAAAAAGUUAGACAGGCUCCACACCUUGUCUUUGUCAGAACUGGUACGGAGCAGAAUUGAUCCUCGCGAGGAUGGACAGCCCUCCAUUCGACCUAAGCCAAACGACUUCCCGGAGUGGGCAGCUAAGAACGAGGAUGAUAAUGUUGUUGAUGAGAGUGCCCAGUCAUUAUCCCUAGUGGCUCUUCGCUGAAUGACUCUGUUAAUGACAUUUUAAAUGAUCAUGACUCUGAUUGCUAUAGUUUUUCAGUAUAGUAAAGACCCACGAUAUAUCACCCAAAGUUUUCCA